RNAcentral lists this transfer RNA (99 nucleotides) under bioreactor metagenome. Its description in RNAcentral is "tRNA-Ala". The record is from RNAcentral.
CGGCGCUUAUGGUCGGGGUUACGCUCCUGGGCGUUCGCGCCGUCCUCGGCGGGUUUGGGGGCCGCCUGCGGUGCGCGUUCCUGCCGCGGUUGCGCUGGC